CAAGUCGAACGCCCCGCAAGGGGAGUGGCAGACGAAGUAGUAAUACGCAGGUACGUACCGAAGAGUCGGGCAUAGCUAGCCGAAAGGUUAGGUAAUUCCCGAUGGUUCCCGAAAGGGUAAAGGGGCAACCCGCUCUUUGAACGGCCUGCGCGGUAUCAGCUUGAUGGUAGGGUAACGGCCUACCAUGGCUACGACACCUAGGGGAGCUGAGAGGCUGACCCCCACUGAUAGGACUGAGACACGGCCUAUACAUCUACGGAUGGCUGCAGUCGAGAAUCUUCCACAAUGGACGAAAGUCUGAUGGAGCGACGCCGCGUGGUUGAUGAAGUCCUUCGGGACGUAAAAACCUUUUAUGGGGGAGGAAGUAAUUGACGUUACCCCAUGAAUAAGGGGCUCCUAACUCUGUGCCAGCAGGAGCGGUAAUACAGAGGCCCCGAGCAUUAUCCGGAAUCACUGGGCGUAAAGGGUGCGUAGGCGGCGAUGUUAGUCUCUCGUUAAAGUUCUCGGGCUUAACCCAGGAAAUGCGGGGGAAACGGCAUCGCUUUGAGGAUAUGAGAGGUAUAGGGAACUCAUGGUGUAGGGGUGAAAUCCGUUGAUAUCAUGGGGAACACCAAAUGCGAAGGCACUAUACUGGCAUACUCCUGACGCUGAGGCACGAAAGCGUGGGAAUCGAAAAGGAUUAGAUACCCUUGUAGUCCACGCCCUAAACGAUCCUAACUGGCUUUAGGGAGUAUCGACCCUCUCUGAGGCGAAGCUAACGCGUUAAGUUAGGCGCCUGGGUAGUACGAUCGCAAGAUUAAAACUCAAAGGAAUAGACGGGGACUUGCACAAGCGGUGGAUCAUGCGGCUUAAUUCGAUGGCAAACGAAGAACCUCACC
Molecule: ribosomal RNA, 878 nt
Filed under: uncultured Pseudomonadota bacterium
Lineage: Bacteria; Pseudomonadati; Pseudomonadota
Description: bacterial SSU rRNA
Rfam family: Bacterial small subunit ribosomal RNA
Source: RNAcentral